RNAcentral lists this ribosomal RNA (173 nucleotides) under Ophiopogon amblyphyllus. RNAcentral describes it as "5.8S ribosomal RNA". It matches the Rfam family "5.8S ribosomal RNA". Rfam says of the family: 5.8S ribosomal RNA (5.8S rRNA) is a component of the large subunit of the eukaryotic ribosome. It is transcribed by RNA polymerase I as part of the 45S precursor that also contains 18S and 28S rRNA. RNAcentral also lists the same sequence under 2 other names. The record is from RNAcentral. Lineage: Eukaryota; Viridiplantae; Streptophyta; Magnoliopsida; Asparagales; Asparagaceae.
CGACUCUCGGCAACGGAUAUCUUGGCUCUCGCAUCGAUGAAGAACGUAGCGAAAUGCGAUACUUGGUGUGAAUUGCAGAAUCCCGUGAACCAUCGAGUCUUUGAACGCAAGUUGCGCCCGAGGCUAUCCGGCCGAGGGCACGCCUGCCUGGGCGUCACGCCUAGCGUCGCUCC